Molecule: small nuclear RNA, 107 nt
Organism: Ictidomys tridecemlineatus (thirteen-lined ground squirrel)
Lineage: Eukaryota; Metazoa; Chordata; Mammalia; Rodentia; Sciuridae
Source: Ensembl
GUGCUCACUUUUGCAGCACAUAUACUAAAAUUGGAAUGACACAGAGAAGAUUAGCAUGGCCCUUGCACAAGGAUAACAUGCAAACUUAUGAAGCAUUCCAUAUUAAA